GAUGAAGAACGUAGCGAAAUGCGAUACGUAAUGUGAAUUGCAGAAUUCAGUGAAUCAUCUAGUCUUUGAACGCACAUUGCGCCCCCUGGUAUUCCGGGGGGCAUGCCUGUCCGAGCGUCAUUGCUGCCCUCAAGCACGGCUUGUGUGUUGGGCCUCCGUCCUCCUCCCGGGGGACGGGCCCGAAAGGCAGCGGCGGCACCGCGUCCGGUCCUCGAGCGUAUGGGGCUUCGUCACCCGCUCUUGUAGGCCCGGCCGGCGCUUGCCGACACAUCAAUCUUUUUUCCAGGUUGACCUCGGAUCAGGUAGGGAUACCCGCUGAACUUAAGCAUAUCAAUAAGCGGAGGA
This 345-nucleotide unclassified non-coding RNA is filed under the name soil metagenome. RNAcentral's name for it is "partial contains 5.8S ribosomal RNA, internal transcribed spacer 2, and large subunit ribosomal RNA". The stretch from base 1 to 120 matches the Rfam family "5.8S ribosomal RNA", at positions 35 to 154 of the family's 154-position model. The record is from RNAcentral.